RNAcentral lists this ribosomal RNA (804 nucleotides) under uncultured bacterium. Its description in RNAcentral is "bacterial SSU rRNA". It matches the Rfam family "Bacterial small subunit ribosomal RNA", at positions 62 to 876 of the family's 1533-position model. The record is from RNAcentral.
UCGAACGGACUUAAUUUGAAACCUAGUGAUGUAUGGAUUAGUGGCGGACGGGUGAGUAACGCGUGGAUAACCUGCCGUAUACAGGGGGAUAACACUUAGAAAUAGGUGCUAAUACCGCAUAAGCGCACGGUUCCGCAUGGAACAGUGUGAAAAACUCCGGUGGUAUACGAUGGAUCCGCGUCUGAUUAGCCAGUUGGCGGGGUAACGGCCCACCAAAGCGACGAUCAGUAGCCGGCCUGAGAGGGUGAACGGCCACAUUGGGACUGAGACACGGCCCAAACUCCUACGGGAGGCAGCAGUGGGGAAUAUUGCACAAUGGGGGAAACCCUGAUGCAGCGACGCCGCGUGAGUGAAGAAGUAUUUCGGUACGUAAAGCUCUAUCAGCAGGGAAGAAAAUGACGGUACCUGACUAAGAAGCCCCGGCUAACUACGUGCCAGCAGCCGCGGUAAUACGUAGGGGGCAAGCGUUAUCCGGAAUUACUGGGUGUAAAGGGAGCGUAGACGGUUAAGUAAGUCUGGAGUGAAAGGCCGGGGCCCAACCCCGGGACUGCUCUGGAAACUAUUCAACUUGAGUGCAGGAGAGGUAAGCGGAAUUCCUAGUGUAGCGGUGAAAUGCGUAGAUAUUAGGAGGAACACCAGUGGCGAAGGCGGCUUACUGGACUGUAACUGACGUUGAGGCUCGAAAGCGUGGGGAGCAAACAGGAUUAGAUACCCUGGUAGUCCACGCCGUAAACGAUGAUUACUAGGUGUCGGUGGGUAUGGACCCAUCGGUGCCGCAGCAAACGCAGUAAGUAAUCCACCUGA